Molecule: ribosomal RNA, 429 nt
Filed under: Chloroflexota bacterium
Lineage: Bacteria; Bacillati; Chloroflexota
Description: Chloroflexi bacterium partial 16S ribosomal RNA
Rfam family: Bacterial small subunit ribosomal RNA
Source: RNAcentral
UGGGGAAUAUUGCACAAUGGGCGCAAGCCUGAUGCAGCCAUGCCGCGUGUGUGAAGAAGGCCUUCGGGUUGUAAAGUACUUUCAGUCGGGAGGAAGGUGGUAAGGUUAAUAACCUUGGCAAUUGACGUUACCCGCAGAAGAAGCACCGGCUAACUCCGUGCCAGCAGCCGCGGUAAUACGGAGGGUGCAAGCGUUAAUCGGAAUUACUGGGCGUAAAGCGCACGCAGGCGGUUUGUUAAGUCAGAUGUGAAAUCCCCGGGCUCAACCUGGGAACUGCAUCUGAUACUGGCAAGCUUGAGUCUCGUAGAGGGGGGUAGAAUUCCAGGUGUAGCGGUGAAAUGCGUAGAGAUCUGGAGGAAUACCGGUGGCGAAGGCGGCCCCCUGGACGAAGACUGACGCUCAGGUGCGAAAGCGUGGGGAGCAAACAGG